AUUGAACGCUGGCGGCAGGCCUAACACAUGCAAGUCGAACGAGUGGCGGACGGGUGAGUAAUGUCUGGGAAACUGCCUGAUGGAGGGGGAUAACUACUGGAAACGGUAGCUAAUACCGCAUACCAUCGGAUGUGCCCAGAUGGGAUUAGCUAGUAGGUGGGGUAACGGCUCACCUAGGCGACGAUCCCUAGCUGGUAUGAGAGGCUGACCAGCCACACGGGAACUGAGACACGGGCCAGACUCCUAAGGGAGGCAGCAGUGGGGAAUAUUGCACAAUGGGCGCAAGCCUGAUGCAGCCAUGCCGCGUGUAUGAAGAAGGCCUUCGGGUUGUAAAGGACUUUCAGCGGGGAGGCGUUACCCGCAGAAGAAGCACCCGCUAACUCCGUGCCAGCAGGCGCGGUAAUUC
RNAcentral lists this ribosomal RNA (406 nucleotides) under uncultured bacterium. Its description in RNAcentral is "partial 16S ribosomal RNA". It matches the Rfam family "Bacterial small subunit ribosomal RNA", at positions 30 to 526 of the family's 1533-position model. The record is from RNAcentral.